This 526-nucleotide long non-coding RNA is filed under the name Solanum tuberosum (potato). RNAcentral's name for it is "long non-coding RNA (STUB_LNC003995)". Lineage: Eukaryota; Viridiplantae; Streptophyta; Magnoliopsida; Solanales; Solanaceae. The record is from RNAcentral.
AAAAGAAAAUCAAGGCGAAUAGCCGUAUAUUUAUUCAAAUAAAUAAAUUGUACAAUACAAAUAUUAGAAAGAGACAAAGAGUACAUAAUCUAGGUAUUGAAUAUUAAUUAUUGUACUAACAAUUGAAACUCUUUUUAAAUUCUUUUCGUAACUUUUGUAUCAUUUCAAAAGAAACAUUUUUUGGAACUUGUAUUUGUCGUUCUUCUUCCAUUGCUUCCAUACCAUCAUCACUAUUAUCACCAAAUAUUUCAUCUAUUUCGUCUUCUAUUUGGCUAUUUAAUUGUGGUAGUCCGGUAUUUCUUCUUUCGGCAUUGACCCAAUCUCGAAACAACACCGAUAUUUCCAAACUAUCCUUUGCUAAUGAAUAUCGAUGAUCUCCAAUCAUAAAUCUCGCCGCACUAAAGGCUUGCUCCGAAGAGAUCGAUGAUGCUUGAAUCGCUAGCACAUCUCGAACAAUCCUAGCAAGGGUCGAAAAUUUGAUUUUCACGAUUCUUCCACCAUACUAAUAUUGGAGCUUGAAGUUGUC